RNAcentral lists this ribosomal RNA (425 nucleotides) under uncultured bacterium. RNAcentral describes it as "partial 16S ribosomal RNA". It matches the Rfam family "Bacterial small subunit ribosomal RNA", at positions 354 to 796 of the family's 1533-position model. The record is from RNAcentral.
GUGGGGAAUCUUGCGCAAUGGGCGAAAGCCUGACGCAGCCAUGCCGCGUGAAUGAUGAAGGUCUUAGGAUUGUAAAAUUCUUUCACCGGGGACGAUAAUGACGGUACCCGGAGAAGAAGCUCCGGCUAACUUCGUGCCAGCAGCCGCGGUAAUACGAAGGGGGCUAGCGUUGCUCGGAAUUACUGGGCGUAAAGGGCGCGUAGGCGGACAGCUUAGUCAGAGGUGAAAGCCCAGGGCUCAACCUUGGAAUUGCCUUUGAUACUGGCUGUCUUGAGUACGGGAGAGGUGAGUGGAACUCCGAGUGUAGAGGUGAAAUUCGUAGAUAUUCGGAGGAACACCAGUGGCGAAGGCGGCUCACUGGCUCGAUACUGACGCUGAGGUGCGAAAGCGUGGGGAGCAAACAGGAUUAGAAACCCGUGUAGUCC